This 254-nucleotide ribosomal RNA is filed under the name uncultured bacterium. RNAcentral describes it as "partial 16S ribosomal RNA". It matches the Rfam family "Bacterial small subunit ribosomal RNA", at positions 524 to 776 of the family's 1533-position model. The record is from RNAcentral.
UACAGAGGGUGCAAGCGUUGUUCGGAAUUACUGGGCGUAAAGCGCGCGCAGGCGGAUCCUGUAAGUCUGGAGUGAAAUCUCACCGCUCAACGGUGAGGCUGCUUUGGAUACUGCGGAUCUGGAGACCGGUAGAGGCUGGUAGAAUUGCAGGUGUAGCGGUGGAAUGCGUAGAGAUCUGGAGGAACACCGGUGGCGAAGGCGGCAUUCUGGACCGAAACUGACGCUGAUGCGCGAAAGCCAGGGGAGCAAACGGG